CCAGAAGCUAGAUGAAUGCAGGCUCUCAGGAGAGGAAUCUAGGCUGGGGAGUAUAGAUUUACCAGGCGUUUGUUUAAAGGGAGUAGAGGACAAUAUAAGAUAGCCAGUGCGUGCAGGUGUGGGUGAGGAGAGACAGACCCGGGAGACUCGAGUCAAGGAGGGAGGGCUUAGGAGGGGUGAGAAGGGUGACAGAAAGAAAGCAGAGCAUGAGUCCAAGGAGCCAAGGGAAGACAGCAUCACAGAAGAGCAAGUAACCACAGUGCAGAAAAACCAGUUACGUAAAGUUCUGAGCAAUGCCCAGCGCCUCUAUAAACAAGCAGGUCCUUGGUGACCGCGACCGGAGACCUGUGUGGGGUGCCAGGUUGCAGGAAAUCGAAGAAUGAGUGGAGAACGAGGAAAAAGACAGCUGGAAACUCAGAGUCAUCCCUGAAGAUGGCCACAAGUCACCUCCUUUCUGAUGCCCUUUCCUCUCCACUUCCAGGGAAGAAGCAAGACAUGAAAGGAAGCUACUCCAGGCCUUCGUGGUCCAGGUACAUGACUGCAGGAGGUUGGAUACAUGGAGCUGAUGCUUCCAAACCUUUAAGCUCUGUCUGGUAGAAGUCAGAUAUGGACCUCAUGGGGCUAAAAGCAGAGCUGUAUUUGUUCCCUGAAGCUCCUAGGGGAAGACUCUGGGUGCUCAUCUGCUUCUACAGGACGCCUGUAUCCUUGGCUUGAGGUUCCCGGCUUCCCUCUUGAAAGCCAGCAAUGGUUUUUUGAGACAGAGUCUGGCUAUGUAUCUAGUUCAGGCUGGCUGGCCUUGAACUCACAGCGAUCCUCCUACCUCAGCCUCCCAUGUGCUGCGAUCACAGCCAUGUGCCAGCACAUUCAACAGCCUAAUAUUUAAUUUUCUCAUGGGUAAUAUGGAAAGAAAAAUACCAACCUUUCAGACUUAUUGUGAGGAUAAGAUAAUAUGUAUAGGGUCUAGAAAAGGGACAUUUUCAAAUUCCCCUCCCCAUUUCCCAUUUUCCUUCUCCCGUAAGGGAAGAGUGGCUUUGACCAGGCCAUUUUCCCCAGUGUUCAGGGCCAUGUGGGCUGUGCGUGAACCAUGUACCUGGUGUAGCUCCUCUGGGGCCUUCUGUCCAUCUCCAGCUACCAGUGCC
Molecule: long non-coding RNA, 1139 nt
Filed under: Heterocephalus glaber (naked mole-rat)
Lineage: Eukaryota; Metazoa; Chordata; Mammalia; Rodentia; Bathyergidae
Description: lncRNA (ENSHGLG00000032989.1)
Source: RNAcentral